UGUGCAGGUGCAGCCUGAGUUUUCCCCAGGCUGCUCUAUUUUUGCCUAUAGGUGUGAUUUUGUAGGCAGGCUGCUUCUCUGAGGAUUAGCCUUAGCUGUGUACCUAACAUUAACAUUAGAGAAAUGUCUUAGGUGCCUAUGGGUUUGUUAAUUAUUGCACCCCAGAAUUAAGUAGACUUAUCUAUCUAGUCACAGUAAUACACACUAAUGUUACAUUAGGGUCUUCUCCUAUAAACUCAUAUCAAAGAGCAAGAGAAAAGAAUGUGUGUAGGCUCCCAAGAAAAGUGAGAAAGAGGCUAAAUUAUUCUGAAAUUCAUCAAGAUACUGUGUGAAAAGACUCAAUGAUGCAUCAAACAACAAAUGCCCUGAGACCAAAGUUGUUUAUAACAACUUGUCUGGACAAGGAAGAGAGCUGGGAGCAGCUCUAGUCUUCCUCAUUGAGGGCUGUGCUGAAAGCUGCUAAGGGGUGGCUGAGGAGCAGUUUAUGCCCAGGCCCAGCUGAGGCUCAUCCAGUCUAGUCACCUCAGCAAUUCUGACAGUGUUUGAUCCUCCAUGCACGUGUUUCUACGCAUCAAGAAAGCACAGCUACAAGGUUAACCCAAAGAACAAUUUAAAAGCUAUUUCAAUGGCAAUUUCUGUGACUGAGUCAUGAAAACAGACAUAAAGUUCUUGAGGUUUUGGAUGAAGAAAAAGUCUCCUGCAGAAGAAAAGAACACACUCAUUUCAGAAAUUAAAACAACAAACAACAAAAACUCUAACCAUCCAAUUAAUUUAAUUUUUGUUUCUGAAAGCAUCAGUAGUAAAUUUAAAAUCCAUGAAUCUAAAUCUAUACUAGGGAGAAAGCAGCUAGAUUUAUUUCUAAAUAAAUAAUAUAUGCCUUAGGUCAAUUAGUUUUUAUUGCUCUAGAGUGUAAUAAUCCUAUUUUAUCAAUAUGUAUUAUGAUACCACUCAGUUUUUAAAUAGCAAAUCUAGUUAUUAUAAUAAAGGCAAUAGCACUAGCAUUAUAGGCACAA
RNAcentral lists this long non-coding RNA (1013 nucleotides) under Homo sapiens (human). RNAcentral's name for it is "HSALNT0077548". The record is from RNAcentral. Lineage: Eukaryota; Metazoa; Chordata; Mammalia; Primates; Hominidae.